Molecule: unclassified non-coding RNA, 828 nt
Filed under: Hevea brasiliensis (rubber tree)
Lineage: Eukaryota; Viridiplantae; Streptophyta; Magnoliopsida; Malpighiales; Euphorbiaceae
Source: RNAcentral
UUCCAAUGCCAAGUGAAAAGGAUGCUUUGGCAAUAAAAAAAAUGGAGACUGAAGCGCUGCCUUCUGUCAAAACUGACACUCCUGUGGAUGCAGAGAUCAAACCGGAGCGGCCAGCUCGCAAGCGAAGGUGGAUUAGUAACUAAAAGGGAAUUCAGUGAAUACGUUUUUAGGUGUGCCUCGCUUUUUUCAGUGAGGAAAUUACUGCUUGGCCUGAUUUUUUAUUGCAUCGCCCUGAAGAUCCUGUAAUAUGUGGAUGAUAUAAUAUCUGUAUGCUUCCAGGGAUGGCCAUGUACUUCAGCCAUAGUUAAUCUAUAAAUCUUGUAACCAUAUUCCUGCCAUACUUAGACAUACUUAGAUGUUUUGUAGAUGCUAAUAUAUGUAACAUUGAACUUGUCACCUUAUGGUGGCACAGAAUUGCAUUUUAGUAUCAAUUCCAAUUAUGUUACUCAGAUUGAAGUCUGAGGCGACGCGACCUGUGCUACUGGGUAUGAGAUGAGGUGCUAUCUUUUCGAAUUCAGAUGGUAUUGCGGUUGAAAGAAAUUUUAUGAAGCAACUAUGUGGUGGGGAAGUGGAGCAAGAAUACCAUUUUUCUGUAUCUGUAGAAAACUUCAGCUAGAAAAUGAGCAUUGAAACUAUACAUUAUCUGUAUCAUGUAUGUGGAAUUGUCAUAUUUUUCCCCUAGCCUUCAUGUGGACAAGAGGUUGGAAAGACAUUGGAAGCUCCAUUUGUAUACUAAGGACUAGUUAUAGCAAGUGUUUGAUUGAAAAAGUAAAAUUUUCAGUCGUUACUCUCUUUCAUAAUUGAAUGUUUAGCUCUAUAUGACAGAAC